GACUACUGGCAGGAUCAACCAGAUAGCAUAAAUCGGCGAAGUCGGCACGGCCCCGUCCGAGCCGAAGCUCGAUACGGGAGACCGAUUCGACCGUCGUCCGCAAGAAUGCUUUUUUGUGGUGCUGCGAGGCCGAGGGCCCCGUACCCACAUGAUUUUCCGCACCCGAGAUACCGAGCGUUCCGUCGUGGUUCAUCGACCCGAAAGCCGUUUCACGGGCAAACGGGGCGCGAGACACAACGGGCGCUGUUUGGCCCACCCCGCGCCGCCCGCCCGCUAGGAGCAGCAGCACGGGGCGAGAAAGGGACGAUGUAGCCGACAGAAUGCCCUCGCGAUAGGUAUUCAGCACAGGAAAACCAACGUCGGACGAGCGCACGCUCGUGCCAACAAUUGAAGAGACGCGGACGGAAUAUUGUCGCUGCCAGAGCAGGGAUCCAACAUGCCGUUGCGCGCCAACCACCACUC
This 462-nucleotide unclassified non-coding RNA is filed under the name Nepeta prattii. RNAcentral describes it as "partial external transcribed spacer". The record is from RNAcentral. Lineage: Eukaryota; Viridiplantae; Streptophyta; Magnoliopsida; Lamiales; Lamiaceae.